UGUGUCACCCAGCCCGGUAAUAGACAGAUGCCGAACGUUGCGCGAAAUUACUGGGCGUAAAGGGUCCGUAGGCGGUCUGGUAAGUGGAAGGUGAAAUAUUCCGGCUCUCCCGUAGAAUUGCCUUUCAAACUGCUGGAGGCGAGGCAGGGAGAGGUCGGCGGAAAUUCCGGUGUAGCGGUGAAAUGCGUAGAUAUCGGGAGGAACACCAGUGGCGAAGGCGGCCGACUGGAACUGUCCUGACCAUGAGGGACGAAAGCUAGGGGAGCAAACCGGGUUUGAUUCCCGGGUUGUUCCACCCCUUAACAAUGGGUCCUAGAUGUGGCGUUCGAAAGUGGUUCUCUUCCGCAAGCUAACGCAUAAGCACCCCGCCUGGAGACCCCGACU
This 384-nucleotide ribosomal RNA is filed under the name uncultured Sulfurihydrogenibium sp. Its description in RNAcentral is "bacterial SSU rRNA". It matches the Rfam family "Bacterial small subunit ribosomal RNA", at positions 504 to 887 of the family's 1533-position model. The record is from RNAcentral. Lineage: Bacteria; Pseudomonadati; Aquificota; Aquificia; Aquificales; Hydrogenothermaceae.